AAACCUGACGGAGCAAUACCGCGUGAGGGAGGAAGGCUCUUGGGUCGUAAACCUCUUUUCUCAAGGAAGAAGAAAGUGACGGUACUUGAGGAAUAAGCAUCGGCUAACUCCGUGCCAGCAGCCGCGGUAAUACGGAGGAUGCAAGCGUUAUCCGGAAUGAUUGGGCGUAAAGGGUCUGCAGGUGGAACUGAAAGUCUGCUGUUAAAGAGUUUGGCUUAACCAAAUAAAAGCGGUGGAAACUACAGAACUAGAGUGCGGUAGGGGCAAAAGGAAUUCCUGGUGUAGCGGUGAAAUGCGUAGAUAUCAGGAAGAACACCGGUGGCGAAAGCGUUUUGCUAGACCGUAACUGACACUGAGGGACGAAAGCUAGGGGAGCGAAUGGGAUUAGAUACCCCAGUAGUCCUAGCCGUAAACGAUGGAUACUAGGCGUGGCUUGUAUCGACCCGAGCCGUGCCGGAGCUAACGCGUUAAGUAUCCCGCCUGGGGAGUACGCACGCAAGUGUGAAACUCAAAGGAAUUGACGGGGGCCCGCACAAGCGGUGGAGUAUGUGGUUUAAUUCGAUGCAACGCGAAGAACCUUACCAAGACUUGACAUCCUGCGAAUCCCGGUGAAAGCUGGGAGUGCCUUAGGGAGCGCAGAGACAGGUGGUGCAUGGCUGUCGUCAGCUCGUGUCGUGAGAUGUUGGGUUAAGUCCCGCAACGAGCGCAACCCUCGUUUUUAGUUGCCAGCAUUAAGUUGGGCACUCUAGAGAGACUGCCGGUGACAAACCGGAGGAAGGUGGGGAUGACGUCAAGUCAGCAUGCCCCUUACGUCUUGGGCUACACACGUACUACAAUGCUACGGACAGAGGGCAGCGAGCCAGGGAUGGCAAGCGAAUCCAGAAACCGUAGCCCUUUCGGAUCGAAGGCUGCAACUCGCCUUCGUGAAGGAGGAAUCGC
This 939-nucleotide ribosomal RNA is filed under the name Cylindrospermopsis raciborskii UFMG188. RNAcentral's name for it is "bacterial SSU rRNA". It matches the Rfam family "Bacterial small subunit ribosomal RNA", at positions 379 to 1335 of the family's 1533-position model. Lineage: Bacteria; Bacillati; Cyanobacteriota; Cyanophyceae; Nostocales; Aphanizomenonaceae. The record is from RNAcentral.